This 253-nucleotide ribosomal RNA is filed under the name uncultured bacterium. RNAcentral describes it as "partial 16S ribosomal RNA". It matches the Rfam family "Bacterial small subunit ribosomal RNA", at positions 524 to 776 of the family's 1533-position model. The record is from RNAcentral.
UACGGAGGGGGCUAGCGUUGUUCGGAAUUACUGAGCGUAAAGCGCACGUAGGCGGCUUUGCAAGUUAGAGGUGAAAGCCCGGGGCUCAACCCCGGAAUUGCCUUUAAGACUGCAUCGCCCGAAUCCAGGAGAGGUGAGUGGAAUUCCGAGUGUAGAGGUGAAAUUCGUAGAUAUUCGGAAGAACACCAGUGGCGAAGGCGGCUCACUGGCCCGGUACUGACGCUGAGGUGCGAAAGCGUGGGGAGCAAACAGG